This 292-nucleotide ribosomal RNA is filed under the name uncultured bacterium. RNAcentral's name for it is "partial 16S ribosomal RNA". It matches the Rfam family "Bacterial small subunit ribosomal RNA", at positions 505 to 796 of the family's 1533-position model. The record is from RNAcentral.
GUGCCAGCAGCCGCGGUAAAACGUAGGUGGCGAGCGUUAUCCGGAUUUACUGGGCGUAAAGGGUGUGCAGGCGGGGUCUCAAGUGGUGUGUGAAAUCGCCCGGCUCAACCGGGCGAGGUCAGGCCAGACUGAGGCUCUGGAGUGCGGGAGAGGGGCGUGGAAUUCCGGGUGUAGUGGUGAAAUGCGUAGAGAUCCGGAGGAACCCCAGAGGCGAAGGCGGCGCCCUGGCCCGACACUGACGCUGAGACACGACAGCAUGGGGAGCGAACGGGAUUAGAUACCCCCGUAGUCC